CCUACGUGUGGCAGCAGUGGGGGAUAUUGGACAAUGGGGGGAACCCUGAUCCAGCGACGCCGCGUGAGUGAAGAAGUAUCUCGGUAUGUAAAGCUCUAUCAGCAGGGAAGAAGAAAUGACGGCACCUGCGUAAGAAGCCCCGGCUAACUACGUGCCAGCAGCCGCGGUAAUACGUAGGGGGCAAGCGUUAUGCGGAAUUACUGGGUGUAAAGGGAGCGUAGGUGGUGAUGUAAGUCUGGAGUGAAAGGCGGGGGCCCAACCCCCGGACUGCUCUGGAAACUAUGUGACUUGAGUGCAGGAGAGGUGAACAGAAUUCCUAGUGUAGCGGUGAAAUUCUUCGAUAUUAGGAGGAACACCAGUGGCGAAGGCGGCUCACUGGACUGUAACUGACGUUGAGGCUCGAAAGCGUGGGGAGCACACAGGAUUAGAUACCCCAGUAGUC
This 442-nucleotide ribosomal RNA is filed under the name uncultured bacterium. RNAcentral describes it as "partial 16S ribosomal RNA". It matches the Rfam family "Bacterial small subunit ribosomal RNA", at positions 338 to 795 of the family's 1533-position model. The record is from RNAcentral.